UCACCAAGGCUCGACGUAGCGCUGAAGGUACGCACUGGACUGAACUGUCCAGCCUACGAAGUCAGCAUGGGAUAUCGCACAAUUGGGCCAGCCUGAUGCAGCUAUCGUCAGCUUGAAGGAUGACGGCUCGGUGUAACUCUUUAGCAAGGACGAGCGAAGUGACGUACCUGCAGAAAAGCGCCGCUAACUACGUGCAGCAGCGCGGUAUACGUAGGGAGCAAGCGUUAUCGUAUAUUCGGCGUAAAGAGCUCGUAGCCGGUUUGUCGCGUCUGCUGUGAAUCCGAGCUCAAUCUUCGGGCCUGCAGUGGGUACGGGCAGACUAGAGUGCGGUAGGGGAGAUUGGAAUUCCUGGUGUAGCGGUGGAAUGCGCAGAUAUCAGGAGGAACUUCGAUGGCGAAGGCAGAUCUCUGGGCCGUAACUGACGCUGAGGAGCGAAAGGGUGGGGAGCAAACAGGCUUAGAUACCCUGGUAGUCACCCCGUAAACGUUGGGAACUAGUUGUGGGGUCCAUUCCACGGAUUCCGUGACGCCGCUAACGCAUUAAGUUCCCCGCCUGGGGAGUACGGCCGCAAGGCUAAAACUCAAAGGAAUUGACGGGGACCCGCACAAGCGGCGGAGCAUGCGGAUUAAUUCGAUGCAACGCGAAGAACCUUACCAAGGCUUGACAUAUACGAGAACGGGCCAGAAAUGGUCAACUCUUUGGACACUCGUAAACAGGUGGUGCAUGGUUGUCGUCAGCUCGUGUCGUGAGAUGUUGGGUUAAGUCCCGCAACGAGCGCAACCCUCGUUCUAUGUUGCCAGCACGUAAUGGUGGGAACUCAUGGGAUACUGCCGGGGUCAACUCGGAGGAAGGUGGGGAUGACGUCAAAUCAUCAUGCCCCUUAUGUCUUGGGCUUCACGCAUGCUACAAUGGCCGGUACAAAGGGCUGCAAUACCGUGAGGUGGAGCGAAUCCCAAAAAGCCGGUCCCAGUUCGGAUUGAGGUCUGCAACUCGACCUCAUGAAGUCGGAGUCGCUAGUAAUCGCAGAUCAGCAACGCUGCGGUGAAUACGUUCCCGGGUCUUGUACACACCGCCCGUCAAGUCAUGAAAGUCGGUAACACCUGAAACCGUAGUGUUGUCCUGCUCAGAUGAUCGCUCUCAUGGGC
RNAcentral lists this ribosomal RNA (1145 nucleotides) under Microbacterium hydrocarbonoxydans. RNAcentral describes it as "bacterial SSU rRNA". It matches the Rfam family "Bacterial small subunit ribosomal RNA", at positions 265 to 1464 of the family's 1533-position model. Lineage: Bacteria; Bacillati; Actinomycetota; Actinomycetes; Micrococcales; Microbacteriaceae. The record is from RNAcentral.